Long non-coding RNA from Argentina anserina (silverweed cinquefoil), 969 nucleotides. RefSeq lists it as uncharacterized. NCBI's taxonomy places the organism in Eukaryota, Viridiplantae, Streptophyta, Magnoliopsida, Rosales, Rosaceae. The record is from RefSeq and is a predicted model, not a curated record. The transcript is spliced from 6 exons.
CUCCCUUCCCUUUAUCAACUCCAAUUCGUGGAACUCACAUGCAACCAAGGUGCAACUAGAUCGGAGGAGGAGCCCGACGGAACUCUUCCGUGUUUUCCGGCAAAGCUUUGACCUUUGGCUUCGAUUAUGAUCUUUGGAGGUAAGCUGCAACUCCUUUGACAUCUCCAAUCUUUCAGUUCUCUUAAUUUCUUGAAUUGGGGCUGAAUCACACUUUCUUUUAUUUUGCAUAAUUGCUUUGAGGUAAACCACCGUCUCUGUGAUAUUUUUCCUUUAUUUCGGCGUCAUGAUGGCUAAGGAAGAACCAAGGAGAAUUCUGGAUAUGCAUUUCAGCUACUACUAUGAAUUAGGAGAGAAGCAGAGCCCUUAUUUCGUUGUUGAAUGCUAUGAGAAGUUGCUGUUUUGGAUUUCUGACUCUUUGUUUGAGAUUAAAGAGUUGCUAAGAAAAUAAAAAUGGAGCCUUGCAGCUACAGUUGCAAGCUACGGGGAUGGUUCAGCGCAUUUAUCGAAUUGUGAAGUCCAGAAGUGAUGGAGCAUAAGCUUGGUUGGUGAUGUUGUACACCGUUUGGAAUUUCGGAGGCAUAAGAAAAACGCCUGGGAGUUUCUACUUGAUCAAGUUUGCCUUCUAGGAGGCAUGCUUGCAGCCUUAAAGCACAAGGAGGCAGUGGAGGAUUUCCGGCAAGGAUCUGAGGACCUCCAACAACAUUAUCGAAUUUCGACAGAAACUAUUAAGCUUUUGGAGCAUACGUUUGGAUAUGGGGAUUCUGCUCGACAAUCCAGGUUUUAACUCGUGUUCCUGGAGCUAGGAGUCAUGUAGAGAAGUGAAGUUUGCGUUCCUUGUUCUAGUUCUUUUAUUACUUCUCUAUUGUUAAGUUUAGUAUUUCCUGAGGUUUAUUUAUGAGAAUUGUCACCUUGUGAGUUGUUCUCUUUUGGGUCGUUGUAUUUAAAUAUUUUUGGGCAGGUGACUCUUAU